UACAGAGGUCUCAAGCGUUGUUCGGAUUCAUUGGGCGUAAAGCGCGCGUAGGCGGACCGGAAAGUCGGUUGUGAAAUCCCUGGGCUCAACCCAGGAACUGCAUCCGAAACUCCCGGUCUCGAGUGACGGAGAGGAUAGUGGAAUUCCCGGUGUAGAGGUGAAAUUCGUAGAUAUCGGGAGGAACACCAGUGGCGAAGGCGGCUAUCUGGACGUCCACUGACGCUGAGGCGCGAAAGCGUGGGGAGCAAACAGG
Molecule: ribosomal RNA, 253 nt
Filed under: uncultured bacterium
Lineage: Bacteria
Description: partial 16S ribosomal RNA
Rfam family: Bacterial small subunit ribosomal RNA
Source: RNAcentral